Molecule: ribosomal RNA, 420 nt
Filed under: uncultured picoeukaryote
Lineage: Eukaryota
Description: SSU rRNA
Rfam family: Eukaryotic small subunit ribosomal RNA
Source: RNAcentral
AAGUGGAUAACCCUGGCAAUUCUAGAGCUAAUACAUGCACCGAAGCUCCGACCGCAAGGGACGAGCGCAGUUAUUAGACCGAACGCACCCUGCGGGCAACCGUGGGGCUGUUAAGGUGACUCUGGAUAACCAUGCGGAUCGCACGGCCCAGCGCCGGCGACAAUUCUUUCGAAUGUCUGCCCUAUCAGAGUCGAUGGUAGUCGAGAAGGACUACCAUGCUGACAACGGGUAACGGGGAAUCAGGGUUUGAUUCCGGAGAGGGAGCCUGAGAAACGGCCACCACAUCCAAGGAAGGCAGCAGGCACGCAAAUUACCCACUCCUGACACAGGGAGGUAGUGACGAAUAAUAACAAUACGGGCGUCUUUCGAGGCCCCGUAAUUGGAAUGAGUGCAAUUUAAAUCCUUCAACAAGGAUCUAUU